Molecule: small nucleolar RNA, 88 nt
Organism: Camellia sinensis
Lineage: Eukaryota; Viridiplantae; Streptophyta; Magnoliopsida; Ericales; Theaceae
Product: small nucleolar RNA R24
Source: RefSeq, a predicted model, not a curated record
CUUGCAGUGAUGAGCAGCUAACAUGUAAGAAAGACCACUUUGUGUGGUUUCUUCAAUGAAAUAUCGUUACGCUUGGCUUCUGAGCACU